AGCGAACGCUGGCGGCAGGCCUAACACAUGCAAGUCGAACGGAUCCUUCGGGAGUAGUGGCGGACGGGUGAGUAACACGUGGGAACGUGCCCUUUGGUUCGGAACAACUCAGGGAAACUUGAGCUAAUACCGGAUGUGCCCUUCGGGGGAACGAUUUAUCGCCAUUUGAGUGGCCGGCGUCUGAUUAGGUAGUUGGAGAGGUCAAGGCUCACCAAGGCGACGAUCAGUAGCGGGUCUGAGAGGAUGAUCAGCCACAUUGGGACUGAGACACGGCCCAAACUCCUACGGGAGGCAGCAGUAGGAAAUCUUGCGCAAUGGGCGAAAGCCUGACGCAGCCAUGCCGCGUGAAUGAUGAAGGUCUUAGGAUUGUAAAAUUCUUUCACCGGGGACGAUAAUGACGGUACCCGGAGAAGAAGCCCCGGCUAACUUCGUGCCAGCAGCCGCCGUAA
RNAcentral lists this ribosomal RNA (449 nucleotides) under uncultured bacterium. Its description in RNAcentral is "partial 16S ribosomal RNA". It matches the Rfam family "Bacterial small subunit ribosomal RNA", at positions 29 to 523 of the family's 1533-position model. The record is from RNAcentral.